CAGAAGUGGCCGAGUGGCUAAAGGGGCGCCCCCCUGCAAAGGGGGAGUAUACGUUAAUAGCGUAUCGGGGGUUUUCGAAUCCCCCCCUUCUCC
RNAcentral lists this transfer RNA (93 nucleotides) under Gammaproteobacteria bacterium. Its description in RNAcentral is "tRNA-Cys". Lineage: Bacteria; Pseudomonadati; Pseudomonadota; Gammaproteobacteria. The record is from RNAcentral.